Molecule: long non-coding RNA, 3349 nt
Organism: Lagopus muta (rock ptarmigan)
Lineage: Eukaryota; Metazoa; Chordata; Aves; Galliformes; Phasianidae
Exons: 2
Source: RefSeq, a predicted model, not a curated record
GUAGUCUACUGCGCAUGCGCCUGACUGGCACCAUAUUGCGCAUGCGCCCUGCUCGUACCCUGCUGCGAGUGUGGCAGUCUGGCACUCCAAUGUUGGCAUCCUACUGCGCAUGCUGCCGCCUGCAUCUCCUCUCCUUUAACUUCAGGAUUUGUAUUAUUCGUAGCAUUACUUUUAUGGCGACUUACUUAGAUCUGUGUGGAUUAUGGUGGCUUAUCUGGAUUACUUUAAGUGGAUUUGGUGGUUAAAGGUAUGACCAUUUUUACAGGACCUAUUAUUAUAGACGGGCAAUGCAGAACAUAAACGGCACAGCGACGCUCUGUCGUGCUCUGAAGGGCCGGGACCCCCCCCCCCCCCAACCCGGGGGCAGCGCUCUCCCUGUUCUCCUCCGAUCUGUGCAAAAACUGUGCAAAACAGUGUGCACUUAACUGCAGAAUUUUGCAAACCCCACGUGGACUUCAUGGAACCCCAGCAAAGACCAGCAAUCCCAUACAUUCUUCAGCAAUCCAAGGAGGAACUUCAGCAAUGCAGGGCAAAGACUGGUGAAUCUGGAUAGAAGAGUAAUCAAAAAUCACAAUAACUACAAAAGAACAUGCAAAGCAAGUGAUGUGCAAUGCAAUUGCUCACCACCCACUGAUGAAUGCCCAGCCGAUUCCCGACCAGCAGCAGACUGCCGGUCAUCUCCCCCCGGUACGUUAUUCAGUGUGAGGACAUCGAGGACGGGACAUCCCUUUGGCCAGCAUCGUCCCGCUUCCGUCCCCUCGCUGCCAAGGCUGAGGAGGAGCCCAGCUUCUACCGCUGCUCGGGGUGGAUGUGACGCAUGACGGCCGACCUACUCGAGCACCCGCUGCCCCCGUCACCCCUUCCGCAGCACAUCUUCGCUAUGAGCCGCGUCUCCACUGCGCCGGCGGAACGGGGAACCCCGCCGCGGCUCCUCCCCCGUCGCGGCAGAGCGAUCCGCACGUUCCGCAAUGCCCACCGCCGCCUGUCGCGGUCUGAUUACGUCACCGCCAGAAGUACUGCCGGGUGAUUUUCCGGUGUUGGUCGCUGCUGCUGCCUGCAAAUGAGCAAGCGGAAAGUGCUGCAGGAGAGGCUCAACCAGGGCAUCGCGGACUUCCUCAUGGCUAGGGAAUUACGAGCGCGACGUGAACCGAGCCAUCCACAAGUACGACGCGUACAGAUACCGCCUCCUUCCUCAGGGCUGCUUUUUUCUCUUCCCUGCCGGAGCGCCCCGCUCCCGUCUCUCGGGGGCCCGGCCCGGCCUCGCCGCAGGGCUGAGCGCGCUGCUCUUUUCUGGCCGCUGACUGACGCCGUUCCGCAGGAAAGCAGACUGUCGUUUCUCGGUACCCCAGCAGAAUACGGAGUGAAGUGGAAGCUAAGAAGCUGGUAGGUACCGGGGCGAAUUUGGGCUUCUUAACGUGGAGGAACUGUGUUAGGAUGGUAUCGAGGUUUCCAGGAGGAGGGAAGCAGUGUACGAAUGACUCUGCUUGCAUCAGCUUCUGCUGGCAGCCGGCUCAGGGAAGGGCGAGUGGAGCAUAUGGGCUGCAGGGAUUUCAUAGGUGGAACUGGAGACUCCAGCUGGGUCUCUUCUGUGAAAGGCUUCUACUGUGGCAGGUUUCCCCUUUGCUGUGUUACUGUCUCACUAAGUUUGGCAGUUGUAGGAAUCUACAACUGGUUUAAAAUAACUGUUUGCAGGGGACUUGAAAUACAGCACUUGAAGUACUCUGUGCUACUUGUGUUGUACCCUUCAGUGCUCCUGAUCUCUUACAGACCAAUGUUUUAAAAUGGUUUCUGUGACUUCACAGUUCUUUUUAUUGAGCUUUAUUUUUCUUAGGUAUGAUGGCUGUAAGUGACCUUGAAAUUGACUUGUAGUUAAUCCUUCCUCAAUGUUUAGGAUGGAGUAGAUGCUAAAAUAGCUGAGAAAAUAGAUGAGUUUUUAUCUACUGGACAGCUUCACAAAUUGGAAAAGAUGUGUUUCUUUCCCUUGUGCUUUGUUUCUCAGUAGUUGUUUGUACUUUGUGAAGUAGUCUGCUUGCUUUGUGCAGUUUCUGUUGCUUUCUGCGGAGAGAGUGAUGUCAAGCAGAAGAACGGUGGAGUCUGCAAAGUAAAAAGUGGGGAACAAGAAGCUUAGCCAAAGCCUCAGACGAAAAUAUUUUAGAUUGUAUAAUUGGCAUGUGAAUGUCUUCUGUGAGAAAUGGAAUUCCGACUCUGGAAGGCUGCGGAAUUGACUUUUAACCAUGCUGUUUACCUUAGCAUGGGCAGUUAAGACAGUUAAUUCACUGGAAUGGUACGUAUGGCACUGUCCUAAUGCACAAUAUUUCUGUUAGUACUGUUUUGUUCUGAUUUACAGUAGGUCUCCAAAGCAGAAUCUGACUAAGUUGUUUUAUAAGCUUUCUUUAUUUAGUGAAAUGGAGUAAAGAAGAGUUUGUUCACAUUACUAUCUUUUUGCAGAUUCGACAAGAUGAUACAAGUGCAUCCAUCAACUUCCUGACAUGAGUUACUGGUAUUGGGUAAAGCUUAGUUAUUAUUUGUUAGUGGUGGGGGGAAGUAGUUGUCAAAGUUGUAGAACUGCCAAUUACAGAUUCUGCAGUAGAGGAGUGGAAGUGGAAAGCUCCUGUGUGCAAGCAGAGAGGGGAAGGAGAGAGGGAGGUGAUCAAAAACUGAAUCAAAAGACUGAGAAAAGUAGAAUCAUGAAGGCAGAGUAGGAGCCUAUGAGAUUUACAGUGCAAAAUCUGAUUAGGGAGAGUAGUAUUUUUAUUAUGUUUGUAAAAGGAAAUCCAGAGCCCUGCCAACCCCUCAAAAACAGGUCUUUUCAGAAAGAUGAUAGCAGGAGAUCUAAUUCUCUCGAGGCCUGUUCUCGUUCCUAUUCUGUGCAUAGGGAAAUUUUGGCAAAAAAGAGCUCAGUUUACAGACAGGCACUUAACUUAGCAUGUGCAUAGCAGCAGAAGUCAAUAUCUUGAGUGAGAAGGACUGUGAUACUGCUUGCCAAGAACAGGGUUGGCUAAAUAUAGAACACUUGUGCUUAAAAUCAGAACAGAUUGGAAUGCUGUGGGGAAGAAGAGGGAAAAGCAAUUGUCACGGAGUUAUCUGAGUCUGUGACAAAGGGCAAAAAAAGCCCAGGAAAGCAAACAAAACAAAACAAAAAAACAAAAAAAAACAAGAGAGGGGAAAACUACCCUCCUCUUUUCUUUCAGCUUAGCUAGCUAGCCCCGAGGCAGACCCUGCCCUCUGGGAGAGGGGGAGAGGAGGAGAGGGGGAUGGGUAGAAAGAUAGCAGAUAGGUCUAAAAAACAAAAACAAAACAAAACAACAACAACAACAAAAAAAAACCUGGAACAAGUGGUUGCCUCCCG